GCGGGCAUGGCGGAACUGGCAGACGCGCUGGAUUUAGGUUCCAGUGGGGUAACCCAUAGGAGUUCGAUUCUCCUUGCCCGCACCA
This 85-nucleotide transfer RNA is filed under the name Alphaproteobacteria bacterium. Its description in RNAcentral is "tRNA-Leu". It matches the Rfam family "tRNA". From Rfam's summary of the family: Transfer RNA (tRNA) molecules are approximately 80 nucleotides in length. Lineage: Bacteria; Pseudomonadati; Pseudomonadota; Alphaproteobacteria. The record is from RNAcentral.